AGAGUUUGAUCCUGGCUCAGAACGAACGCUGGCGGCGUGGAUAAGACAUGCAAGUCGAGCGCUGAUUGCAGGGUAGCAAUAUUCUGCAGUUGGAGCGGCGCAAGGGUGCGUAACACGUGGGCAAUCUACCGAGAAGUGGGGGAUAGCUCGCCGAAAGGCGAAUUAAUACCGCAUAUGACCCUGGGUAACCUUACCUGGGCGUUAAAGCCGGGGCAACCUGGCGCUUUUUGAUGAGCCCGCGGCCUAUCAGCUAGUUGGUGAGGUAACGGCUCACCAAGGCUAUGACGGGUAGCUGGUCUGAGAGGACGACCAGCCACACUGGAACUGAGACACGGUCCAGACACCUACGGGUGGCAGCAGUCGAGAAUUUUUCACAAUGGGGGAAACCCUGAUGGAGCGACGCCGCGUGGAGGAUGAAGGUCUUCGGAUUGUAAACUCCUGUCAUUGGUGAACAAGAUUUGCCGGGUAACUCCGUGCGGAUUUGCUAGUAGCCGAAGAGGAAGGGACGGCUAACUCUGUGCCAGCCGCCGCGGUAAUAC
This 539-nucleotide ribosomal RNA is filed under the name uncultured bacterium. RNAcentral's name for it is "bacterial SSU rRNA". It matches the Rfam family "Bacterial small subunit ribosomal RNA", at positions 8 to 526 of the family's 1533-position model. The record is from RNAcentral.